RNAcentral lists this ribosomal RNA (301 nucleotides) under uncultured bacterium. RNAcentral describes it as "partial 16S ribosomal RNA". It matches the Rfam family "Bacterial small subunit ribosomal RNA", at positions 509 to 809 of the family's 1533-position model. The record is from RNAcentral.
CAGCAGCCGCGGUAAUACGAAGGGGGCUAGCGUUGUUCGGAUUUACUGGGCGUAAAGCGCACGUAGGCGGACUUUUAAGUCAGGGGUGAAAUCCCGGGGCUCAACCCCGGAACUGCCUUUGAUACUGGGAGUCUUGAGUUCGAGAGAGGUGAGUGGAAUUGCGAGUGUAGAGGUGAAAUUCGUAGAUAUUCGCAGGAACACCAGUGGCGAAGGCGGCUCACUGGCUCGAUACUGACGCUGAGGUGCGAAAGCGUGGGGAGCAAACAGGAUUAGAUACCCCUGUAGUCCCUGUCUCUUAUAA